Molecule: ribosomal RNA, 695 nt
Filed under: Rhizopus stolonifer
Lineage: Eukaryota; Fungi; Mucoromycota; Mucoromycetes; Mucorales; Rhizopodaceae
Description: eukaryotic LSU rRNA
Rfam family: Eukaryotic large subunit ribosomal RNA
Source: RNAcentral
AAAAGAAAAUAACAAUGAUUUCCCUAGUAACGGCGAGUGAAGAGGAAAGAGCUCAAAGUUGGAACCUGUUUGGCCUAGCUAAACAGGAUUGUAAACUGUAGAAGUGUUUUCCAGGCAAUCCGAGUUAAUAAGUCCUUUGGAACAGGGCAUCAUAGAGGGUGAGAAUCCCGUCUUUGAUUCGAGAUAUUUUGUCUUUUGCGAUACACUUUCAAAGAGUCAGGUUGUUUGGGAAUGCAGCCUAAAUUGGGUGGUAAAUCUCACCUAAAGCUAAAUAUUGGCGAGAAACCGAUAGCGAACAAGUACCGUGAGGGAAAGAUGAAAAGAACUUUGAAAAGAGAGUUAAACAGUAUGUGAAAUUGUUAAAAGGGAACCGUUUGGAGCCAGACUGGCUUGUCUGUAAUCAAUCUAGGUUUCGUGCCUGGAUGCACUUGCAGACUAUUUGCCUGCCAACGACAAUUUUUUUUGAGUGUAAAAACUAUUGGAAAUGUGGCCAAUAUUUAUUUAUUGGUGUUAUAGUCCUUUAGAAAAUACCUUGAAUUGGAUUGAGGAACGCAGCGAAUGCUUCUCUUUUGAGGCAAAGUCUUUUAUUUGGGAUUUACGGAUCAGACUGUGGCAUUGUCACAAGACUUGAAGUUUAAACCUAUUUUUGAACUUUUAUUCGCUUAGGUUGUUGGCUUAAUGACUCUAAAUGACCC